This 90-nucleotide transfer RNA is filed under the name Nemania diffusa. RNAcentral describes it as "tRNA-Leu". The record is from RNAcentral. Lineage: Eukaryota; Fungi; Ascomycota; Sordariomycetes; Xylariales; Xylariaceae.
UGGAGCUUGGUGUAGUGGUGCACGUCGCUUAAGCCGUUAUACUAUGUCGAGGGUACGGCGAAGGCCCCAGUUCGAUUCUGGGAGCUUCCA